GCAUAUCAAUAAGCGGAGGAAAAGAAACCAACAGGGAUUGCCUCAGUAACGGCGAGUGAAGCGGCAAAAGCUCAAAUUUGAAAUCUGGUACCUUCGGUGCCCGAGUUGUAAUUUGAAGGUAGUUUUCUGGUGCUGGUCCUUGUCUAUGUUCCUUGGAACAGGACGUCAUAGAGGGUGAGAAUCCCGUCUGAUGGGGAAUCCAGUGCUAUGUAGAUUUCUACCGACGAGUCGAGUUGUUUGGGAAUGCAGCUCUAAGUGGGUGGUAAAUUCCAUCUAAAGCUAAAUAUUGGCGAGAGACCGAUAGCGAACAAGUACAGUGAUGGAAAGAUGAAAAGAACUUUGAAAAGAGAGUGAAAAAGUACGUGAAAUUGUUGAAAGGGAAGGAUAUUGGAUCAGACUUGGUGUUUUGUGAUUAUCUUCCCCUUGUGGGUUGUGCACUCGCAUUUCACUGGGCCAGCAUCGGUUCGGAUGGCAAGAUAAUGGCGCAGGAACGUGGCACUCUUCGGGGUGUGUUAUAGCCUGUGUUGAUGUUGCCUAUCUGGACCGAGGACUGCGGCUUUUGCCUAGGAUGCUGGCGUAAUGAUUCAAUAUCGCCCGUCUUGAAACACGGACC
This 613-nucleotide ribosomal RNA is filed under the name Petasospora adriatica. RNAcentral's name for it is "eukaryotic LSU rRNA". It matches the Rfam family "Eukaryotic large subunit ribosomal RNA", at positions 38 to 667 of the family's 3401-position model. The record is from RNAcentral. Lineage: Eukaryota; Fungi; Ascomycota; Saccharomycetes; Phaffomycetales; Wickerhamomycetaceae.